This is a long non-coding RNA of Sinocyclocheilus grahami, 98 nucleotides long. RefSeq lists it as uncharacterized. The transcript has 2 exons. The record is from RefSeq and is a predicted model, not a curated record. NCBI's taxonomy places the organism in Eukaryota, Metazoa, Chordata, Actinopteri, Cypriniformes, Cyprinidae.
CAAUGGCUUAAGAUUCAGUGACAGGCUUCAGGGUCGAAGUCCAGAGGUCAUGCAGGUUUAGGUGCGGGUGUAUUUGCCCCAGAUGUGCAGCAUGAAUA